AGGUAAUGAGCUUGAUAAAGCGUAUGUCUUGAAUACAUAAGAUAGAUUUAUUAUCUAUUACCUU
Molecule: transfer RNA, 64 nt
Filed under: Brontispa longissima
Lineage: Eukaryota; Metazoa; Arthropoda; Insecta; Coleoptera; Chrysomelidae
Description: tRNA-Ser
Source: RNAcentral